GUAACAAUGCUUAGUCGAGCGAUGGGAGUUUCCUUCGGAGAACACAGAGACUAGCGGCGGACGGGUGAGUAACACGUGGGCAACCUUACCUUAUAGUGCAAUUCCUC
RNAcentral lists this ribosomal RNA (107 nucleotides) under uncultured Clostridium sp. RNAcentral describes it as "partial 16S ribosomal RNA". The record is from RNAcentral. Lineage: Bacteria; Bacillati; Bacillota; Clostridia; Eubacteriales; Clostridiaceae.